This 383-nucleotide ribosomal RNA is filed under the name uncultured eukaryote. Its description in RNAcentral is "SSU rRNA". It matches the Rfam family "Eukaryotic small subunit ribosomal RNA", at positions 613 to 1002 of the family's 1831-position model. The record is from RNAcentral.
UUGCAGUUAAAAAGCUCGUAGUUGGAUUUCGGAGUGGGCCAGUUGGUCCGCCGCAAGGUGUGUUACUGACUGGUUUGCUCUUCUUCGCAAAGACUGCGUGUGCUCUUCAGUGAGUGUGCGUAGGAUUUACGACGUUUACUUUGAAAAAAUUAGAGUGUUCAAAGCAGGCUAUUGCUUGAAUACAUGAGCAUGGAAUAAUGGAAUAGGACUUUGGUCCCAUUUUGUUGGUUUCUAGGGCCGAAGUAAUGAUUAAGAGGGACAAUUGGGGGCAUCCGUAUUUCGUUGUCAGAGGUGAAAUUCUUGGAUUUACGAAAGACGAACAACUGCGAAAGCACUUGCCAAGAGUGUUUUCAUUAAUCAAGAACGAAAGUUAGAGGGUCGAA